This 413-nucleotide ribosomal RNA is filed under the name Candidatus Omnitrophota bacterium. RNAcentral's name for it is "bacterial SSU rRNA". It matches the Rfam family "Bacterial small subunit ribosomal RNA", at positions 1 to 347 of the family's 1533-position model. The record is from RNAcentral. Lineage: Bacteria; Pseudomonadati; Candidatus Omnitrophota.
UCCAUGGAGAGUUUGAUCCUGGCUCAGAACGAACGCUGGCGGCGUGGAUUAGGCAUGCAAGUCGCGCGAGGAAUGGACUGUACUUUUUUGACCGUAAGGUUAAGAAAGUACGGACUAUAGCCGAGCGGCAAACGGGUGAGUAAUACGUGAAUAAUCUGCCUUUAAGUUAGGAACAACUUGCCGAAAGGCGGGCUAAUACCAAAUAACAUUACGUUUUCGCAUGAAGAUGUAAUUAAAGAUGGGGAUCAUUUGGUUCUCGUAAGAGAGUCAAAUGACCUGUCGCUUGAAGAGGAGUUCACGUCCUAUCAGCUUGUUGGUAGGGUAAUGGCCUACCAAGGCAUUUGACGGGUAGCUGGUCUGAGAGGAUGGUCAGCCACACUGGGACUGAGACACUGCCCAGACUCCUACGGGAG